Long non-coding RNA from Mirounga angustirostris (Northern elephant seal), 2201 nucleotides. RefSeq lists it as uncharacterized. NCBI's taxonomy places the organism in Eukaryota, Metazoa, Chordata, Mammalia, Carnivora, Phocidae. The transcript is spliced from 6 exons. The record is from RefSeq and is a predicted model, not a curated record.
UCUCAUGACCCUGAGAUCGUGACCUGAGCCGAAACCAAGUCAGACGCUUAACCGGCUGAGUCACCCAGGUGCCCCUCUUGUACAGCCACCUUCUUAACUGCAAGAGUGUACGAGGCGGAGCCUAUGAUUUUUCUUCCUUAUCGUUAUGGGGAGACUGAUGAGCAGAAGGGUGAGUGGUGUACAGAAGGUGCGCUGGCAGGGCUGGGGGCAAGGGGCAGAUCGAGCUCUGUAGGUAACAGCUAGUUCUCAGUGUUCUGGGCUUCCUUUUCAAACAGUCUUUUGGGCUCUUGUAGAAUGAGUUCACAUGCAUACUACAUUUGCUAAUUCUGGGAACUGAGAAGAUCUGCCAAUAAGCUUCUUGGAGAUGGAUGACUUUUUAAAUGUCAAAUGCAACAUUGAGCCGUUAAAUUGUGCUGUUUAAAAUGUCAGGAAAAACCAUUAUUUUUGCAGACAGGGCUUCAGUGUGGUCUGAUUUCAAGUCUGUGGAAUGACUCCUGUCUUUGAGAAGAAUCCUUCUUUUCUUAUUUUGAAAUGCUGCUAUUGUUUUGUCCAGGGAAGAGUGGUCCGAGAGGCAUUUCUGGCCACUGAGUCCAAGCUAGCACGGGCAAGUAGUUGAAGUUCCCACCCCGGACUAGCCUCAUCCUCGCAGGAACUCGGCCAAUAGCUAGCCACCGGCCUGCCCUCUUCCCAUCUUCCCCCUGUACUAAAACCUCCUCCCCCCCCGCACCCCAAUACAGAGCUCUGGGUGAGGUUUCCUCUAGAAUCCAUUCCAGUUCUGUUGUUUUCAGCCAUUUUUCUGCAGAGCAUAGUGGGGACUAGUAGAGUAGACUUUAUUACUCCCAAGAAGAAUCCAGUUGAACGCUUUAGAGCACAGCAGUCCCCAUGGGCAAGUGCCAAGUAAUGACCGCUCCCUGUGGAGAGUUAGAGCCUGGAAGCUUUGGGUCUCUUUCUCCACACGUGUCAUUUUCAUCCAGGUCUUGUCACAUGAUUAGGAGCCUGAAUUAAAUCGCCAGAAAGUAAUCUGGAGUUUGAGUGAUAUGGGUGGAAGUGGGUGAGAGAGAGGGCAACUACCUCCCCGAGUUGUGGGAGAGCUGGGAGAGGGAGGGAUGCAGCCCCCUCUGUAAUCUGUGGCCCUGAGGUCUUCUGAAGCACUGUUUUAGCACAGUCAGCCCCUCCUCCUCUGGCUUCCUCCUUCAUUGUGACACAGCUUGAUCAUCUCAAAUUGUUAGGCUGAAGGAGAUGACUCCCAACCGGUCUCCGUAUCUGAAAUUAUAUGUGUUGGAAACGUAAAUGAAUAUUUGUCCCUGUGUAACAAACAGAUAAGGGAACUGAGACACAGAGACAUUUAUAGCCCAUCGAACAUCAGACCCUGAGUCCUUCAGAGAGCUUCUGUUCCCUCGUGUGAUCCUUUGUCUGUGAGUCACUGACCUACAUCACACAGGCCGUGCUGGCUCUCCCACUCUGGGACUAACAUGAAAGGUAGAGAAAUUCAGAUAUAAAUUUCCCGCUUGGAUGUCUCAGAAAUGUGCAUCUUCAGGAAUAUUAUUCAUUGGUUGAAGAAAAUAUUGCUAGAUGAGAUAGCAAUCACCAUCCUGGUACUUGUCUCCUUUUUUUAGACUUUAUUAAUUUGACAGAGAGAGCACAGAGGGAGAGUGAGAGGGAGAAGCAGACUCCUUGCUGAGGAGAGACACCAACAUGGGCCUCGAUACCUGGACCCUGAGAUCAUGACCUGAGCCAAAGGCAGAUGCUUAACAAACUGAGCCACUCAGGUGCCCUUCAUCAUUCAUGUUUUUAUGCCUGUCUCUCUGCGCUGUGUUCUGGUCACUCUAUUUUUGCUUCGAAGAUUUAAAAUGCAUUCUUUCUCAUAGAGCAAGAGAGCACAAGCAGGGGGAGUGGCAGAGGGAGAUGGAGAAGCAGGCCUCCCCGCUGAGCAGGGAGCCCGAUGUGGGGCUCAGUCCCAGGACCCUGGGAUCAUGAUUGGAGCCAAAGGCAGACACUUAACUGACUGAGCCAGUCAGGCGCCCCCUUUUGUUACCCUUUUAUCAUUAGUUUUGUUUUGGUGGCUCAAACUUAUUGAUGCCCAUGGAAGUGAUGUGUAACCAUAUUUGGGCCUGGAUGUUAAACAUAUGAAAUAUGGGGGCUGGAGGAGGUGGAGAACAAUUCAGUAUAUAACAACAUGUCUUCAAUAAAUAUUUGUUAAA